RNAcentral lists this ribosomal RNA (409 nucleotides) under bacterium. Its description in RNAcentral is "partial 16S ribosomal RNA". It matches the Rfam family "Bacterial small subunit ribosomal RNA", at positions 355 to 776 of the family's 1533-position model. The record is from RNAcentral.
UGGGGAAUAUUGCACAAUGGGCGAAAGCCUGAUGCAGCGACGCAGCGUGAGGGAUGACGGCCUUCGGGUUGUAAACCUCUUUCAGCAGGGACGAAGCGCAAGUGACGGUACCUGCAGAAGAAGCACCGGCUAACUACGUGCCAGCAGCCGCGGUAAUACGUAGGGUGCAAGCGUUGUCCGGAAUUACUGGGCGUAAAGAGUUCGUAGGCGGUUUGUCGCGUCGUUUGUGAAAACCAGCAGCUCAACUGCUGGCUUGCAGGCGAUACGGGCAGACUUGAGUACUGCAGGGGAGACUGGAAUUCCUGGUGUAGCGGUGAAAUGCGCAGAUAUCAGGAGGAACACCGGUGGCGAAGGCGGGUCUCUGGGCAGUAACUGACGCUGAGGAACGAAAGCGUGGGUAGCGAACAGG